RNAcentral lists this long non-coding RNA (303 nucleotides) under Pongo abelii (Sumatran orangutan). RNAcentral's name for it is "lincRNA". Lineage: Eukaryota; Metazoa; Chordata; Mammalia; Primates; Hominidae. The record is from RNAcentral.
GUUUCACCAUGUUGGCCAGGCUGGUCUCGAACUCCUGACCUCAGGUGAUCCUCCUCGGCCUCCCAAAGUGUUGGGAUUACAGUGCAUUUUAUAAAAGCAUUUAUUUAUUCUUUUUUUUUUUUUUUUUUUUGAGACUGAGUCUCACUCUGUUGCCCAGGCUGGUGCAAUGGCACGAUCUCAGCUCACUGCAACCUCCACCUCCCAGGAGAAUCGCUUGAACCCAGGAGGCAGAGGUUGCAGUGAGACAAGACUGCGCCAUUGCACUCCAGCCUGGGCAAUAAGAGUAAAACUCCAUCUCAAAAA